Molecule: non-coding RNA, 23 nt
Filed under: Cricetulus griseus (Chinese hamster)
Lineage: Eukaryota; Metazoa; Chordata; Mammalia; Rodentia; Cricetidae
Source: RNAcentral
UAAAAUGGCUGAGAGAGAACUCA